This 356-nucleotide ribosomal RNA is filed under the name Clostridium beijerinckii. RNAcentral describes it as "bacterial SSU rRNA". It matches the Rfam family "Bacterial small subunit ribosomal RNA", at positions 32 to 387 of the family's 1533-position model. Lineage: Bacteria; Bacillati; Bacillota; Clostridia; Eubacteriales; Clostridiaceae. The record is from RNAcentral.
AACGCUGGCGGCGUGCUUAACACAUGCAAGUCGAGCGAUGAAGCUCCUUCGGGAGUGGAUUAGCGGCGGACGGGUGAGUAACACGUGGGUAACCUGCCUCAUAGAGGGGAAUAGCCUUUCGAAAGGAAGAUUAAUACCGCAUAAGAUUGUAGUGCCGCAUGGCAUAGCAAUUAAAGGAGUAAUCCGCUAUGAGAUGGACCCGCGUCGCAUUAGCUAGUUGGUGAGGUAACGGCUCACCAAGGCGACGAUGCGUAGCCGACCUGAGAGGGUGAUCGGCCACAUUGGGACUGAGACACGGCCCAGACUCCUACGGGAGGGAGCAGUGGGGAAUAUUGCACAAUGGGGGAAACCCUGAU